CUCUGAGCCCCUGAAGCUCGGCGUUGUUCGCUGGGGCUGGUGGGAUCGGAACCCCGUGCCAGACUGAAAACACGAGCCUCUAAGGCUGAGAGGGGUUUAGUGCGGUUGUGCAGGAGCGCCGGCGCGCGCGACUUUUUCUGUGUUGGAGCGGGUUUAAGGAGGCGGCUCUGGGGGGGUGAGGCGUUUAGGUGCGUGGCCUCCCCACUCUCGGGUGAGGUAACACAGACCUUGGAGCCAGAUUUGCUGGGUUUGUACCCCAGCCCCAACAGUUAAGCGCUCUGUGGCUUUGGGCAACUCAGGUAGCAUGAAUCUCAUCAGCACAGAGAGAAAGCUUCACUGAAAACUCACUGCAGGUCGCACCCCCUCAACUCAGACGGCAACAGUGCAGUCAGAGGCCUGCCCUUCCAAGCCUCAGACCCAUGCAGCAGUACGAAUUGAGGUUAAAACACAGAUGCCACUAACCUGCACACCAAAUGGCAUGAGUCAGUGACACCAGCUCCGAGACCUGUUUUGAGCCCAAGCAACCGUCCAAGUCACACGCCUGCUUCUCCCACUUUCACGUGCGGACGAUAAUCAUGAUGUCAACAACAACUUGCCAUCUUUCUCUGAAGAUUCAUUCAACAACUAAUUACUGUGCAUACACUGAGUGCUAUCCCUCCCUGAGGCACUGAGGUGUGAAGUCUCUGUUCUCCUGGAGCUUGCUGUCUAGUAGGAGACAGAGGGGACAAAUAAAUAAACACAUAGAUACGAUAUCAGGUGGUAUAUGUUCUGUGAGGAAGCAAAGAAGUGGGGUAAAGGACUAAAGACUGGUGUAGCAGACGAGCUCGGUGCCUUGCCAGCCUCCCCGCGGCAUUCACCUGGGCACGUGGAGGCUGCUUCCCGUGAGCCCCUGAGGCCCUCUGCCUGGGGGCGGUUAUUUUUCUGGCCGUGGGAGAACGCUUGGCCCCCAAGCGGGGUAAGCAAGAAGUAUUAGAGAACAUCUUUCUCACUUUCCUCAUCUCAUAGUUAGUUACGAUAUCUCCUUUAAUCCUUUCUUUCACUAUUUCCUCCAGUUGGUUCACUUCUCAUUUCUCUGAUGGCUCUUCUUCUGAGAGUUCUGCCAUUUAAAUAAAACGCGUCUACCACUGAUUGGGGCAGGGAAGCUGGACCGUCCACAGCCCUGCUUAGGGAGGCAGCCUCCAGGCGAAAAGCCGCAGGCUCCCCCAAAUUUUUUUAGAAGAUGGGAGACAGAUCAUCUUCUCCUGCUCCAUCGCCAUCAUCGUCAAGGACACCUUCUCCUGAGAACCCAUUAUCUGCUGAACUUCGGGCCAUUUGUUUGACCGUCAUCAUCUCUGACCCUCACACCAACUCGGAAAACCAGACAGUAACUACAGCCCAGCCCAGGGAGGCAACCUUCCCUCCUACAGCAGCCGAGGCGCUCCCCUCAUACCUCUGGCUACACAGGACACACCUCAGCAGCGAUUCCCGUGGCCACAGUGCCCUCACCAUGCAUUCUGGGCCCUGCCAAGGCAGUUACUUUGAUCCUGAAUAGGAGACUCCAGAUCACACGGGAUGUGCAGUUCUUUUUAGGCAGCUGGCAUGAGCUUAGCACAGAUGCCUCCCGGAGCAGGACUGCUUUGCUGCCUCCUGGGAGGUCCAUCAUCAAAACCUCCUGCCCUGACCCACAUUGCGACUCUCCCCAUUUGUGCUUCUGGCUGGAGCUACCAGGUAACCGACGUGGGAGUCUAUGAGUGCUUCAUUUGGCUCAGAGUUCCUUGUGGAGGAGCUGGCGUCUCAAAGUUGGUUAGCAGUAAGCGAGCCCUGAGGUGUUUGUUAGCUAUUAAGGCCUGAAAGGUGGGCACAACUGGGCUGCGGUCUGUGUGGGUGGUCCCCAGGAAGUCCCCUAGUGUCUCUAGGAUUCCGGUUUCUCUCAGGCUGGAAGCAAUCACGGAUAGUUUUUAGGGCUCCGUUUCACCCCUUUCUUGUCCCUAGUGAUUACCAAAUGUCUAUGUGUACAUCUACAUUUUCAGCUUCCUAUGUAGUCAGACUGAGGCCGAACGACAGAGUGUCAGCUACUAGCCAGCUGGACACAGGCAGAAUUAAUUAAUGUACACCACUUCAAGGCUUGGUCCUUAUAAAACCUCCCAGGAGCCUUGCUUCUCUCUUUUCCUCCACUGCUUGGGAACUACACAUUCUAGGCUUACAUCAGACUUUGUGUGAGGAAGAAAUAGAACUAUUAUUGUAUUAAAGCACUGAGCUUUGUUGGUUUGUCUGUUAGCAUAGCAUAGCGUAGCCUAUCCUGACUAAAAUACAUUUUCUUUUAUUCUGCCUAUUCAUUCAUUCAUCCACUCAUUCAGAUGUCAUUCGUUCACUUGAUAUUAAUUAAGUGCCUACUACAUGGCUGCACACUAGUACUUUAGCAUGAAUAUACCUUGGGUUCUUCCCCUGGAGAAGAGGUGGCUGUCUAGGUGAGGAGAUGGAGAUGGGAGCAGAGACGAUAAUAAUACAGUGUGAUAAGUGUGUACAGGGUGCAUAACAUUGUGUUAUGUGCAGAGAAAUAAACAUUCAGAGGCCUUUACCUUUAGAAAACUUCAACUGUACUCUUUCUAGUUUCAUUCUUUAUCCUUUUUUCUAGACAGUGCUCACCCCUGCAUACUGUGCCAGUUCUAAAAAAAAAAAAAAAAACAACCCAAAAACUGCAUUUACCACCACUCUGUCCUUCCUACCAGCCCAUCAUCCCAAAUCCAUCUUCCUGAAGUACCAUUUCUAUAGGUCAUGCCCCCGUCUGAAAAUCAUUCGGGGGGGGGUCUUUCUUUCAUUGCCCACAUAAGGUCCAAACUCCUUAAUUUGGCAUUGAUCCAGUUCUGAGCUAUCUUUCUAACAAACAUUAUUUUCCUCUUCUCCUUCAACCAGAUUGGCGUAAUCCAUGUCCAACAACCCACACCAUUGGUGAUCCCACUCCCAUGUCUUUUCUCACACCACUGUUUCCUCAGAAUUCCCCUCCUUGUCUGCCUAAGUCCCUUUCUCUCUUCAGAGUCCCACCUCAAGUGAUAUCUUUGGUCUUUCUGUCUACCCCAGUCUACAGUAUUAAUAUAUUCAGCAACUUAGAUGAAACGGACAAUUCCUUGGAAAAAAACUAGCAAGGGACAGAGAAAAGAGAAAUAGUCCUGUAUGUCCUAAAGAAAUUGAAUUCUAAAUCAAAACCUUUCCCACAGAGGAAAUUCCAGGCCCAGAUGGCUUCACCAGUGAAUUCCAUAAAACAUUUUAGUAAGAAAUAAUCCGAUUUACAAAAAUUCUUUCAGAAAAUAGAGGAGAACAUUUCCCAAUACAUUGUAUGAAGUUUGUAUAACCUUGAUACCGAAACCUGAUGAAAGACACUUCUAAAACAUCUAUAGCUAACAUCAUAUUUAAUGGUUAAACACUGGCUGCUUUCUCUAAGAUAGAUAGGGAAGAAAUCAAAACAUCUACUUUCACCAGUAUAGUAAGACACAAAGAUACGAAAGGAAGUAGCAAAUACUGUCAUUUUCAGCAAAAUGAUUGUGUAGGUUUAAAACCCUAUGAAAUCUACAAAAACUGCUAGAACUAAAGAGUAAAAUUAGAAAAGUCACUGGUCAGUAUAUUAAAAAAAUCAAUUGUAUUUCUCUCUCUCUCUCUCUC
This is a long non-coding RNA of Delphinapterus leucas (beluga whale), 3636 nucleotides long. RefSeq lists it as uncharacterized. The record is from RefSeq and is a predicted model, not a curated record. Lineage: Eukaryota; Metazoa; Chordata; Mammalia; Artiodactyla; Monodontidae.